AUGGAAAAAAUCAUGAAGAUCACUGAUGUGUUGUGUGUAAGACUGCAAAUUAAAUCUUUGGAUAUUUUGAAUGCUUUGGAUUAUGUGUUCACAAAGGUGCUGCUUGUUGACUUAAGAGAAAAUGGUUGGGAAUCUCUUCUUGAAGAGGUUAAUUCUUUUUGCCUGAAGCACGAGAUUGAUAUUCCGGAUUUUAAUCGCAAGUACGUUGAUGUGACCAAAUCCAGAAACAAGCAUGACAACACCACAACACUCCAUCACUACAAAAUGGAUGUAUUUAAUGUUGCCAUAGACCAACAGUUGACAGAGUUAGAUGAUCGUUUCAGUCUUCAAGCGACAGAGCUUUUAAGCCUUUGUGCAUCAUUGGAUCCAAGACGUGACACAUUUGACAUUUCAAGAAUAUGCACGCUAGUUGAAAAAUUAUAUCCUGCAGAUUUUUCUUCUUAA
Molecule: ribosomal RNA, 444 nt
Filed under: Triticum aestivum (bread wheat)
Lineage: Eukaryota; Viridiplantae; Streptophyta; Magnoliopsida; Poales; Poaceae
Description: partial small subunit ribosomal RNA
Source: RNAcentral